UAGCAAAUACACGCUCAAGCCACUUGGG
Molecule: small RNA, 28 nt
Filed under: Bombyx mori (domestic silkworm)
Lineage: Eukaryota; Metazoa; Arthropoda; Insecta; Lepidoptera; Bombycidae
Description: ovarian small RNA-6321
Source: RNAcentral